UACGUAGGUGGCAAGCGUUGUCCGGAUUUACUGGGCGUAAAGAGCGCGCAGGCGGUUGGGUAAGUCGAAUGUGAAAGCCCCCGGCUCAACUGGGGAGGGUCAUUCGAUACUGUCCGACUCGAAGGCAGGAGAGGGAAGCGGAAUUCCCGGUGUAGUGGUGAAAUGCGUAGAUAUCGGGAGGAACACCGGUGGCGAAGGCGGCAUCCUGGACCGGCAUUGACGCUGAGGCGCGAAAGCCAAGGGAGCAAACGGG
This 253-nucleotide ribosomal RNA is filed under the name uncultured bacterium. RNAcentral describes it as "partial 16S ribosomal RNA". It matches the Rfam family "Bacterial small subunit ribosomal RNA", at positions 524 to 776 of the family's 1533-position model. The record is from RNAcentral.